AUCGUUUGCAUAUAUUUAUCUAUUCGCAUUUUCUUCCUGAUUUUUUUUUGUAUAUUUUGUUUAUUUUACUUUAUUUAUUUAUUUAUUUUUUUUUGUUUAUAUUCUCUUCUAUCGUUCUAGUGUUUUUUUCUACUUUUUUUUGUCUUUGUUUCUUCUUCUUUUUCUAUUCUACUCGUGUGUUUCGUUUGCUGUCGAACGGACACCGAUCUUCUACACGGGUGUAAUUGUUUUUAUUUAUUAAUUUUUUUAUCUGUUUAUUUCCUUGUCAAUUUUCUUCACUCCGCGAACGAAUCGAUCCUGUCAGCCGUGACUCGGAGUUUUCUUUUUAUUUAUUUUUCUCUUUGUUUGCUCUUUGCUGAGGUUUGUCACUAACCAGCCGCCUCUGGUCCAAACAAUGCGAUUCUAGUUUGUCUUCUCUCCUUGAUCAAUAUUAACGCUUCGUAUGUCUUGUUUUUAUCGUUUUUCUGUUAUCCUUUUGCAAGUGAAUUGGCAGCACCUUUCCACUGCUACGUCUUCUUCGUUCUUCUUUACCAUCGGUGGGUAUCAAUGAUCUAUAAAGAACGAGACCAAUGAUAAAUCAUUAUCUACAAAGAUGUUCUCGCGGAACUUUUCCAUAGAGAAAACGUUAAGAUAAGCAGACAAAAUUCAUUGUCAGUGUUUCAUUUCAGAGUGCAAAAGAACGAUUGCCGAAAGGAAGACGAUGUGAUUUACGUUCGUAAUCUUUGCAGAGUGUGAUUUCACGCAGGCUUGCCUCAUGAUUCGACCCACAACUGCAUUAUGUUGCGAAUAAAAAUAUUCCAUGCAUGCUUGAUUGCGUGAUCGACUGUAUCCUGUGAAUAACGCAAAUCGUUUCCUGUUUUAAUAAUCCUGAAGAGGGUGUUCUGAGUUACAAUGUUCUAAAACAGCGUUCUUGUGAUUUUUUUUAGAAGAGAAAGGAAGAAAUGAAGUUACUGGAUUUUGAGAUUUCUAACCCUAUUUAUACACGGAUGUCUUGUCGCUGCAAUCUUCAAUCGACGAGAAAGAUGCAGCUCGUAAUUGUUGAGUGAAACGAAAAACCAAAAAAGGAUCAAAUUAUUAUAUAUUUCUCUCCUGGGUGAACCAAAGGAAGGCAGAAAAAAGUUUAUUUAAAUAAUCGUUAUAAUAAUAAUUGUAAAAUUUAUAUCUUUUUUAAAAAACACAUCUUUUUUUAAACUCGCCAAAAGUUUUAAUUUCACAUUUUUCUCUGCCUUUGUUUAAUUCAUUCAGAAGAAAAAUAUAUAAUAAUUUGAUCCUUUUUUAGUUUUGUGUUUCAGUCAAGAAUUACAAGCUGGAUCUUUCCUACCGACUGAAAACAGCAGCCCAUGAAACAGGCAUAGAAAUCUGUUACAAUUUAUUUUUUCACCUAAAAAAAAAUUUCUUUGUAUUCGUUAAAUAUAUAUAAAACCGCAGCUCAAAAUUCAAUAAGUUCGUUUCUUUCAUUCCUUUCCAAAAAAAAAAUCACAAGGAAUGCCGUUGUAGAACGUUCUAAUUCAGGACAGCCCCUGAAUACGCACGCCAUGCAUGCACGAUGCAUUUGUCUGUUGUAUAUUGUGCCAUCAGUUGGAAGCGCGACGAUUAUUUCGCGAUUUAUCGGAUCGAUACGAUUGUUUGGAUUUAUGAAAUCCAGAGGCAGAACGAGUCGUAAGUAAAUUAACGCCUCGAUGAUCGAUAGUUAAUAGAGCUACUUACUGAAAUAAUCCAUGCUCUGAACGAAUAAUAAUCAGCGUCAUUCGUUGCUUUUAAUUAGCAUUUUACUGUAAUCACGACUAUCGCUAUUGUCAUUUUACUAUAUUGCUGAAAUUGUAACUAUUACAGUCUGUUAAAUCUUAACUGGUUACUCAACAUUUUCCCAAUUUUCCCCACUCUAUGGUUAACAGUUUCUAGUAAAACAAAAGUAGAUGACUAUCUUUCAAUUGUAUGCUGAGUAGCCAGCAAAUUUUGAACGAAUUAUAAACUGUAAUAAGAAUCAAUUAUUUCAUGGAAUUCAACGACGCUGAGUCCUUUCUACAUAGAAAAUAAUUACCAGAAAAAGAUAAU
Bombus terrestris (buff-tailed bumblebee) is the source of this 2055-nucleotide long non-coding RNA. RefSeq lists it as uncharacterized. Lineage: Eukaryota; Metazoa; Arthropoda; Insecta; Hymenoptera; Apidae. The transcript is spliced from 2 exons. The record is from RefSeq and is a predicted model, not a curated record.